GCCGAAGUGGCGGAAUGGCAGACGCGCUAGAUUCAGGUUCUAGUGGGGCGACCUGUGGGGGUUCGAGUCCCCCCUUCGGCACCA
RNAcentral lists this transfer RNA (84 nucleotides) under Deltaproteobacteria bacterium. RNAcentral describes it as "tRNA-Leu". It matches the Rfam family "tRNA". Rfam says of the family: Transfer RNA (tRNA) molecules are approximately 80 nucleotides in length. Their secondary structure includes four short double-helical elements and three loops (D, anti-codon, and T loops). Further hydrogen bonds mediate the characteristic L-shaped molecular structure. tRNAs have two regions of fundamental functional importance: the anti-codon, which is responsible for specific mRNA codon recognition, and the 3' end, to which the tRNAs corresponding amino acid is attached (by aminoacyl-tRNA synthetases). tRNAs cope with the degeneracy of the genetic code in two manners: having more than one tRNA (with a specific anti-codon) for a particular amino acid; and 'wobble' base-pairing, i.e. permitting non-standard base-pairing at the 3rd anti-codon position. Lineage: Bacteria; Pseudomonadati; Myxococcota; Myxococcia. The record is from RNAcentral.